CCCUUAGAUGUUCUGGGCUGCACGCGCGCUACACUGAUGCAUCCAACGAGUUUUUGACCUGAGCCGAUAGGCCUAGGUAAUCUUGUGAGUAUGCAUCGUGAUGGGGAUAGAUUAUUGCAAUUAUUAAUCUUCAACGAGGAAUGCCUAGUAGGCGCGAGUCAACAGCUCGUGCCGAUUACGUCCCUGCCCUUUGUACACACCGCCCGUCGCUCCUACCGAUUGAGUGGUCCGGUGAGGCUUUGGGAUCUGAGCGGAAAGAGCGUUUCGCUGUUUCUGCUCGGAAAACUCAGUCGAACCUUAUCAUUUAGAGGAAGGAGAAGUCGUAACA
Molecule: ribosomal RNA, 328 nt
Filed under: uncultured eukaryote
Lineage: Eukaryota
Description: partial 18S ribosomal RNA
Rfam family: Eukaryotic small subunit ribosomal RNA
Source: RNAcentral